UACGUAGGGGGCUAGCGUUGUCCGGAAUCAUUGGGCGUAAAGCGCGUGUAGGCGGUCCGGUAAGUCCGCUGUGAAAGUCGGGGGCUCAACCCUCGAAUGCCGGUGGAUACUGUCGGGCUAGAGUGCGGAAGAGGCGAGUGGAAUUCCUGGUGUAGCGGUGAAAUGCGCAGAUAUCAGGAGGAACACCAAUUGCGAAGGCAGCUCGCUGGGACGUUACUGACGCUGAGGCACGAAAGCGUGGGGAGCAAACAGG
This 253-nucleotide ribosomal RNA is filed under the name uncultured bacterium. Its description in RNAcentral is "partial 16S ribosomal RNA". It matches the Rfam family "Bacterial small subunit ribosomal RNA", at positions 524 to 776 of the family's 1533-position model. The record is from RNAcentral.